RNAcentral lists this unclassified non-coding RNA (392 nucleotides) under fungal sp. Its description in RNAcentral is "partial internal transcribed spacer region". The stretch from base 1 to 46 matches the Rfam family "Eukaryotic small subunit ribosomal RNA", at positions 1786 to 1831 of the family's 1831-position model. Lineage: Eukaryota; Fungi. The record is from RNAcentral.
AAGUCGUAACAAGGUUUCCGUAGGUGAACCUGCGGAAGGAUCAUUAACACGUUUGAAUACGUUUUCUAUGAACCAUUUCAAUUUUCUGUGCACUUCUCGAAACCGGCCUCCUGAGCCGUCCUCCGGGUUUACUCGGUGCUGACGUGUUUGGGCGUCUUUGGGAAUCACAAAACGAAAAGGGGAUAGGCGGCAGGCAGGAACUUGGGUCUUCUUUUAACGAGGGAGACUUUUGAGAACCUCUUGUUGCUUGUUCUUUUUUUGCUUUGCCCUUAGGCGUUGCCACAACCCCAACCCUUUAACCUGUAUGUCUGAACUCUGAAGUUGGCGAAUUCACUUUUGCUAACGACAUUUAAAAACAAUAACAACUCUUAACAUCGGAUAUCUUGGUUCUC